RNAcentral lists this small RNA (168 nucleotides) under Alicyclobacillus sp. RNAcentral describes it as "c-di-AMP sequence". It matches the Rfam family "c-di-AMP riboswitch aptamer (ydaO/yuaA leader)". Rfam says of the family: This family represents a conserved RNA structure found upstream of the ydaO and yuaA genes in Bacillus subtilis and related genes in other bacteria. The ydaO/yuaA element is thought to act as a genetic "off" switch for the ydaO and yuaA genes in its native state. Lineage: Bacteria; Bacillati; Bacillota; Bacilli; Caryophanales; Alicyclobacillaceae. The record is from RNAcentral.
CGACAUAAAACGCCGAACCCUCUUGGCGUCGGGGGACGGGGGACAUUCUUUUUUGGGGCGAAUCCUAAAGAGCUGAAUAUUCUAUUUUUUCUAUGCUUUUUUGGUAGGGCGCUCACAAGCUGCGGCCCGAGCCCGUCAACUAACCUCGUAGGUGCACAGGGAGCUUAA